This 295-nucleotide long non-coding RNA is filed under the name Arabidopsis lyrata. Its description in RNAcentral is "long non-coding RNA (ALYR_LNC001613)". Lineage: Eukaryota; Viridiplantae; Streptophyta; Magnoliopsida; Brassicales; Brassicaceae. The record is from RNAcentral.
CUACCUAAAUCCUCAAAUCCCUAAAUCCCCAAAUUCUAAAUCCUCAAAUCCCUAAAUUGACCAAACCCAAACCCAAAUCGUCAUCUCGCAGCUCUCUCUCUACAAAUCAAGAACAAAUUUGUGAUUAAGUUGGAUUUACCUUCGAUUUAGUGGGAUUCCCAAACAGAUCGAGCAUACAAGGAAGAUGAGAGAACCUAAGGAAGAUGCGGAGAGAGCAAAGAGGUUGAAAUUUUUCGGAAAUUUCUGUUUUGUGUUUGUCGGAGAUAGCAAAGAGGAGAGAAAGAGGAAACCCUAA